UUCGGUUGGUUUAUUAAAUAAGUAAUAGAUCUAAAAUUCAUUUCGAGUUGAGCACGAACUGACUCACGUACAAUGAACUAGAUUGUCAGCCGUACGUAUCAAUACUCUAAUAUUGGUCACUCCGUCCUAAACAAAUAUUUUGUCAAAAACAUGUUAGUGGAUCAUUUGGGAGAUAAGGAACGAACGAUAUUUAGAAAUGUUCCGCCGAACUCCCUACUAGCUGUCUAGAAGCUGAAACAAUUGACGAAGCUUUGGGAAUACCUUCUUCCCGCUAAUCGAGUUAUUCGCAAGUGUAGACUUCCCAACAUUGACCCCUUUUCUUUUUCUUUUUUUCGCUUAGCUCUCCCCCUCUCAAGGCUUCGGCUGUCUCACCUCUAUAGCCUAAUUCAUAUUUUCUAUAAAUGAAGCAUAUAGCACGCUAUCUUCUUCUCAAAAAAAAAAAAAAAAAAAAA
This 452-nucleotide long non-coding RNA is filed under the name Ananas comosus (pineapple). RNAcentral describes it as "long non-coding RNA (ACOM_LNC012784)". Lineage: Eukaryota; Viridiplantae; Streptophyta; Magnoliopsida; Poales; Bromeliaceae. The record is from RNAcentral.